Molecule: ribosomal RNA, 300 nt
Filed under: uncultured Geodermatophilaceae bacterium
Lineage: Bacteria; Bacillati; Actinomycetota; Actinomycetes; Geodermatophilales; Geodermatophilaceae
Description: bacterial SSU rRNA
Rfam family: Bacterial small subunit ribosomal RNA
Source: RNAcentral
CACGUGGGCAACCUGCCCUCAGCUCUGGGAGUAACUCCAAGAAAUUAGGGGCGUAAUACCGGAUAUGACUGCUGACCGCAUGGUCUGGUGGUGGAAAGAUUUAUCGGCUGGGGAUGGGCCCGCGGCCUAUCAGCUUGUUGGUGGGGUAGUGGCCUACCAAGGCGACGACGGGUAGCCGGCCUGAGAGGGUGACCGGCCACACUGGGACUGAGACACGGCCCAGACUCCUACGGGAGGCAGCAGUGGGGAAUUUUGCGCAAUGGGGGAAACCCUGACGCAGCAACGCCGCGUGGAGGAUGA